This is a long non-coding RNA of Cyprinus carpio (common carp), 1436 nucleotides long. NCBI's taxonomy places the organism in Eukaryota, Metazoa, Chordata, Actinopteri, Cypriniformes, Cyprinidae. The record is from Ensembl.
GCAAGGUGAAUCAGGGUUCCACCUGUCUGGAGGCUUACUUGGAUCUGAUUGGCUGAUUCGUGUGGUGUGGGCGGACUUGAACGGGGGUGAUUGGGAAGCGUGCAUUUGCAGAGCAAGAAGACUUCUUGAAGUAGACUGAUAACAGAUAUCACGCUCAAAAUACUUAUGUAAACUUUCCAUACAUAGACACAUCAGCUUUUAGGCUGUAAUUUAUAUUCAUGGUUUUUCCCCCGGUAUUUUCAUCAUUUUACUACUAUUUGAGAGUUAACUGGAGGAACACUGCUUUUCAAAGAUGUGGUUAUUUUUAUCAAUGUGUGCACUGGUUAAAGCUUUCCAUGCAGACUUUUCGGAAACAGGAUCUGGUGUCUCGGACUCAGAGGGGUUCAACACAUAUCUGAAUCUCUUUACACAAAGAGUGGAUUUACUUGAGCAGCUCUCAGGCUUAGUACCAACCAGCAGGAACGUGACCCUUUAUGAGGAGGACAAAAGAUGUCCAGUGCUGGACAUUGGCCUGUAUUCCACACUCACCAUGCCCUCCCAUGAAGCAUUUGGAUCAAGGUUUGACAUUUAUGUAUGUAUGUAUGUAUGUCUAUAUGUCUGUAGGUCUGUAUGUCUGUCUGUAAUUAUGUAGGUCUGUAUGUCUGUCUGUCUGUCUGUAUGUCUGUUGGUCUGUAUGUCUAUCUGUAAUUAUGUAGGUCUGUAUGUCUGUCUGUAAUUAUGUAGGUCUGUAUGUCUAUCGGUCUGUAUGUCUGUCUCUAAUUAUGUAGGUCUGUCGGUCUGUAGAUCUGUAUGUCUGUCUGUAAUUAUGUAGGUCUAUAUGUCUGUCUGUCUAUCUGUCUGUAAUUAUGUAGGUCUGUAUGUAUGUCUGUAAUCAUGUAGGUCUGUAUGUAUGUCUGUCUGUAAUUAUGUAGGUCUGUAUGUCUAUCGGUCUGUAUGUCUGUCUGUAAUUAUGUAGGUCUAUAAGUCUGUCUGUCUGUCAGCAUGUCUGUCUGUCUGUAAUUACGUAGGUCCGUAUGUAGGUCUGUAUGUCUAUCGGUCUGUAUGUCUGUCUGUAAUUAUGUAGGUCUGUCGGUCUGUAGAUCUGUAUGUCUGUCUGUAAUUAUGUAGGUCUAUAUGUCUGUCUGUCUAUCUGUCUGUAAUUAUGUAGGUCUGUCUGUCUGUCUGUCAGUAUGUCUGUCUGUAUGUCUGUCUGUAAUUAUGUAGGUUCGUAUGUCUGUCUGUCAGUAUGUCUGUCUCUGUGUCUGUAAUUAUGUAGGUCUGUAUGUUUGUCUGUAAUUAUUUUUAUUUAAUUAUUUAAUUAUUAUUAUUUCUUUUAUUUGACAGUUUUUUCCAUUUUCAUUAUGAUUUUAUUUAAAUGACCGUAUUUUUUUAAAUUUACACUGUUGUUCAAAUGUUUGUGGUUAAACAUAUGUGUGUAUAUACAGUAUAUGUGUGUG